RNAcentral lists this ribosomal RNA (478 nucleotides) under uncultured bacterium. RNAcentral's name for it is "bacterial SSU rRNA". It matches the Rfam family "Bacterial small subunit ribosomal RNA", at positions 28 to 507 of the family's 1533-position model. The record is from RNAcentral.
GAUGAACGCUGGCGGCGUGCCUAACACAUGCAAGUCGAACGGAGCUGCUUUGAUGAAGUUUUCGGAUGGAUUUAAAACAGCUUAGUGGCGGACGGGUGAGUAACGCGUGGGUAACCUGCCUCACACUGGGGGAUAACAGUUAGAAAUAGCUGCUAAUACCGCAUAAGCGCACAGUUCCGCAUGGAACAGUGUGAAAAAACUCCGGUGGUGUGAGAUGGACCCGCGUCUGAUUAGCCAGUUGCGGGGUAACGGCCCACCAAAGCGACGAUCAGUAGCCGGCCUGAGAGGGUGAACGGCCACAUUGGGACUGAGACACGGCCCAAACUCCUACGGGAGGCAGCAGUGGGGAAUAUUGCACAAUGGGGGAAACCCUGAUGCAGCGACGCCGCGUGAGUGAAGAAGUAUUUCGGUAUGUAAAGCUCUAUCAGCAGGGAAGAAAGUGACGGUACCUGAAUAAGAAGCCCCGGCUAACUACGUG